Non-coding RNA from Steinernema glaseri, 70 nucleotides. The record is from Rfam. NCBI's taxonomy places the organism in Eukaryota, Metazoa, Nematoda, Chromadorea, Rhabditida, Steinernematidae.
UUGCUGUGAGGACAACUUAGGACACCUUUGGACUUUCCGUGAAAGUAAAAUCGUUACGAUGCUGAGCAAU